Molecule: small RNA, 127 nt
Filed under: Marmota monax (woodchuck)
Lineage: Eukaryota; Metazoa; Chordata; Mammalia; Rodentia; Sciuridae
Source: RNAcentral
UCUGGGUGUGGUGGUGCAUGCCUGUAAUUCCAGCUGCUUGGGAGGCUGAGGCAGGAGGAUAGCAAGUUCAAAGCCAGCCUCAGCAAUUUAGUGAGGCCCUAAGCAGCUCAGCAAGACCCUGUCUCAA